GUGUCCACGGCAGGGAGGUUCCUUUCGGGCUUUGAAGGACACCAGAGCUCUGGGCUGCUCUGAGUGACCCCACACACCGUGGCAGGUGUUUGGACUGGAACAGAGGUUUGUACAGACCUUUUAGCAGCCCUUAUUAAAUUGUGGGAUUAUGGGCUGUCGUUCCUAAUCCAGCAGAGCAGGCUGGGCACA
Molecule: long non-coding RNA, 189 nt
Organism: Empidonax traillii (willow flycatcher)
Lineage: Eukaryota; Metazoa; Chordata; Aves; Passeriformes; Tyrannidae
Exons: 3
Source: RefSeq, a predicted model, not a curated record